This 480-nucleotide long non-coding RNA is filed under the name Monodelphis domestica (gray short-tailed opossum). RNAcentral's name for it is "lncRNA (ENSMODG00000038605.1)". Lineage: Eukaryota; Metazoa; Chordata; Mammalia; Didelphimorphia; Didelphidae. The record is from RNAcentral.
UCAGUACUCCAUGUUUACUCAAUGAUUUCUUUUUACUAUUACUACUUCACAGGAGCAGAACCAGGACAACAUGGUACACUGUAACAGCAAUAUUGUAAAAUGACCACCUGUGAAUGACAGCUCAUCUAAGUAAUACAGAGAUCUAAGACAACUCCAAAGGAUUUGUGUUGAAAAAAUGCUAUCUCCCCUGAGAGAAAGAACUGAUGGGUUUCCCCUGGUAACAGAAGGAUGUCAUUUGUUUCUAGUGUCCCCCCCAACCCCACACCAUAUGCAUAAAAGAAGAACAACACUUACCUUUCAGCAAGGAAUUGGAAAUGGAAGGGAUAUCCAUCAACUGAGGAAAGGCUGAACAAAUUGUGGUACAUGUUGGUGAUGGAGUAUUAUUGUUCUAUAAGAAAUGAUAUACAAGAUGAUUUCAGAAAAAGCUGGAAAGAACUGCAGGAACUGAUACAGAGUGAAAUAAACAGAACCAGGAAAACA